AAUGGCUCAUUAAAUCAGCUAUGAUUCAUUGGAUCUGUACCCACACUUACUUGGAUAACUGUGGUAAUUCUAGAGCUAAUACAUGCACCACGUCUCUGACCGCAAGGGAAGAGCGCUUUUAUUAGUUCAAAACCGUGUCGGGCCUCGGUCCGUCACCCCAUUGUGUUGAAUCUGAAUAACUUUGAGCUGAGCGCACGGUCUCCGCACCGGCGCCGCCUCUUUCAAGUGUCUGCCUUAUCAGCUUUCCAUUGUAGGUUAUACCCCUACAAUGGCUAUAACGGGUAACGGGGAAU
RNAcentral lists this ribosomal RNA (293 nucleotides) under Portunus sanguinolentus (three spot swimming crab). RNAcentral describes it as "partial small subunit ribosomal RNA". It matches the Rfam family "Eukaryotic small subunit ribosomal RNA", at positions 92 to 370 of the family's 1831-position model. The record is from RNAcentral. Lineage: Eukaryota; Metazoa; Arthropoda; Malacostraca; Decapoda; Portunidae.